GAUGAACGCUGGCGGCGUGCCUAAUACAUGCAAGUCGAGCGAACGGACGAGAAGCUUGCUUCUCUGAUGUUAGCGGCGGACGGGUGAGUAACACGUGGAUAACCUACCUAUAAGACUGGGAUAACUUCGGGAAACCGGAGCUAAUACCGGAUAAUAUUUUGAACCGCAUGGUUCAAAAGUGAAAGACGGUCUUGCUGUCACUUAUAGAUGGAUCCGCGCUGCAUUAGCUAGUUGGUAAGGUAACGGCUUACCAAGGCAACGAUGCAUAGCCGACCUGAGAGGGUGAUCGGCCACACUGGAACUGAGACACGGUCCAGACUCCUACGGGAGGCAGCAGUAGGGAAUCUUCCGCAAUGGGCGAAAGCCUGACGGAGCAACGCCGCGUGAGUGAUGAAGGUCUUCGGAUCGUAAAACUCUGUUAUUAGGGAAGAACAUAUGUGUAAGUAACUGUGCACAUCUUGACGGUACCUAAUCAGAAAGCCACGGCUAACUACGUGCCAGCAGCCGCGGUAAUACGUAGGUGGCAAGCGUUAUCCGGAAUUAUUGGGCGUAAAGCGCGCGUAGGCGGUUUUUUAAGUCUGAUGUGAAAGCCCACGGCUCAACCGUGGAGGGUCAUUGGAAACUGGAAAACUUGAGUGCAGAAGAGGAAAGUGGAAUUCCAUGUGUAGCGGUGAAAUGCGCAGAGAUAUGGAGGAACACCAGUGGCGAAGGCGACUUUCUGGUCUGUAACUGACGCUGAUGUGCGAAAGCGUGGGGAUCAAACAGGAUUAGAUACCCUGGUAGUCCACGCCGUAAACGAUGAGUGCUAAGUGUUAGGGGGUUUCCGCCCCUUAGUGCUGCAGCUAACGCGUUAAGCACUCCGCCUGGGGAGUACGACCGCAAGGUUGAAACUCAAAGGAAUUGACGGGGACCCGCACAAGCGGUGGAGCAUGUGGUUUAAUUCGAAGCAACGCGAAGAACCUUACCAAAUCUUGACAUCCUUUGACAACUCUAGAGAUAGAGCUUUCCCCUUCGGGGGACAAAGUGACAGGUGGUGCAUGGUUGUCGUCAGCUCGUGUCGUGAGAUGUUGGGUUAAGUCCCGCAACGAGCGCAACCCUUAAGCUUAGUUGCCAUCAUUAAGUUGGGCACUCUAAGUUGACUGCCGGUGACAAACCGGAGGAAGGUGGGGAUGACGUCAAAUCAUCAUGCCCCUUAUGAUUUGGGCUACACACGUGCUACAAUGGACAAUACAAAGGGCAGCGAAACCGUGAGGUCAAGCAAAUCCCAUAAAGUUGUUCUCAGUUCGGAUUGUAGUCUGCAACUCGACUACAUGAAGCCGGAAUCGCUAGUAAUCGUAGAUCAGCAUGCUACGGUGAAUACGUUCCCGGGUCU
RNAcentral lists this ribosomal RNA (1372 nucleotides) under uncultured bacterium. RNAcentral's name for it is "bacterial SSU rRNA". It matches the Rfam family "Bacterial small subunit ribosomal RNA", at positions 28 to 1381 of the family's 1533-position model. The record is from RNAcentral.